Molecule: non-coding RNA, 1175 nt
Organism: Carica papaya (papaya)
Lineage: Eukaryota; Viridiplantae; Streptophyta; Magnoliopsida; Brassicales; Caricaceae
Source: RefSeq, a predicted model, not a curated record
CCUCAAAUCCAUGGCUACAGUCUCACCGUAGAUACGUGGGACGGGUUUCGAAAAUGGAGGAGGGGAGGGCAGAAGAAAAGAAAACCCUGAUUCGAAAAUGGAGUAUUGGUGAAGAAGAGGAGAACCAGCCAAUUAUCUCAUCUGCGAUCCAGGGAAGGUAUGGGAUUUAAACCAUGAUGAAGAAGAAGCCUACUUCAUGUUACCACUUUUUGAAGAGCAGAUGAACAAUGAUAUCCUGUAAUCUGUCACUUGAUCAACUACCAAAUGUCAUUAGAUCAUAUAUUACCAAUGCCCAUAAAUCUUUUUGCAUAUUUCUGAUAGACUAGUUCAUGCAACAUGAUUUGAUAUCUUUUGUUAGACAAGUAAUUUGGCAAAUUAUUUUAUAUUCUUCCAGUUCCGAUGUAAUAUCAACUGUUGAUCUUGCUACUCAUUGUGGUGUAGAGUUUGAUUUUUGAGUUGUUAUGGCACAAUCGUAAAGAAAUUGGUGGAGACAUGACAGCCCCAAUAAACUGAAUUGCUUUACAGUAGUGGUAUUGGUAGUGGAGGUAUUAGUCCUGACCUAUCAAUUUUGAAUUAUAUGAUUAUUUGUUUAUGUAAAUUAGGAAAGUUCGAGGAGGUUAGAACCCAUUUUGAUAGACUUGUUAUGAUGAGUUCUAUUCCUAGUAAAAUUGCUUGUAAUUUUGUUAUCAGUGGGCUUUAUGCAUAGGAAAAGUUUUUGGAGGCAUUUAAGUGUUUUAUUAGACUCAGUGAGGCUGGUGUUAGUUUAGGUGUUUGGAGUUAUUAUUCGUUGUUUGAUGGUUUAUGUUAUAAAUGAUACAUAUAUGAGGCGAUGUAAUUAUUUGAUAUAAUACGUGAACAAACUUCACCAACGCUGCAUAUGUAUACGUUUUUGUUUUAUGUUCUUUGUAAAAGAGGGUGGAUUAUUGAGGCAGAGACUUUGUUUAGAGAAAUGAAGUAUCAGAGUUUCUUUGUAGAUAAGUUGACGUACACUUCUUUAAUUGAUAGAUGCUGCAACAAUAAGAAGAUAGAAAUGACAAUGCGAGUUUACUUGAGAAUGCUUAAAACUAGUUGUGAGCCGGAUACGUAUACUUGCAACACGUUGAUUCACGGGUUUGCCAAGAUUGAUUUGUUUGAUAAAACUUGAGUAUUGUACAAUCAGAUGAUAGAUAAGAAAA